CAGCCAAGGUCAGCGUCCACCAAGCCUUUUUUUCAACUUUUGACCUCGGAUCAGGUAGGGAUACCC
This 66-nucleotide ribosomal RNA is filed under the name Alternaria panax. RNAcentral's name for it is "partial 28S ribosomal RNA". Lineage: Eukaryota; Fungi; Ascomycota; Dothideomycetes; Pleosporales; Pleosporaceae. The record is from RNAcentral.